CGGGGGGAGCUGGCGCUCGCCGCGCGACAGCGCGGAGGAAAGUCCGGACUCCAGGUGGAGGCACGCUGGGUAACGCCCAGCCGCGGCAACGCGAGGGAAAGUGCCACAGAAAACAUACCGCCCCGCACCACUUCCCCUCCGGAAGGGCGGUCUCGCCCGGUCGGCAGGAACGAAGGGCGGCGCAGUGGUGAGAGUUUCCGUGGGGGAAGUGGUGCGGGGUAAGGGUGAAAAGGUGGGGUAAGAGCCCACCGCCCGAGCCGCGAGGCGAGGGGCACGGCAAACCCCGUGCGGAGCAAGGCCAAAUAGGGGGACCGACGGGCUCCACCACCGGUCCCGCCCGCCGCCAGGCGGGUGGGGGGUCCCCGGGUGGGCCGCUCGAGCCGGCCGGCAACGGCGCGGCCAGAUGAAUGAGCGCCGCCCGCUCCCGCGAGCGGGCACAGAAUCCGGCUUACCGCUCCCCCCGGUGC
Molecule: RNase P RNA, 467 nt
Filed under: Acidobacteriota bacterium
Lineage: Bacteria; Pseudomonadati; Acidobacteriota
Description: Acidobacteria bacterium (sediment metagenome) RNase P RNA component class A
Rfam family: Bacterial RNase P class A
About the family: Ribonuclease P (RNase P) is a ubiquitous endoribonuclease, found in archaea, bacteria and eukarya as well as chloroplasts and mitochondria. Its best characterised activity is the generation of mature 5'-ends of tRNAs by cleaving the 5'-leader elements of precursor-tRNAs. Cellular RNase Ps are ribonucleoproteins.
Source: RNAcentral